GCCAGUUGAUGAGUCUAUAAUUAAAUCUAUCGGAUCUAUGGUGGGGAUUCACUAUCGUUUACCUGCGUUCCCAUGAUUCUCAGAUUUUUUAGAGAGUUCUUAGAAAGAACACAAAAGAAUGGAGUACUAAAAGGGGAAAAAGAGAGAGCGUGUGUUCCAUUUCAAGGUUACAGGUAUUUAUAGAGUACAUCUGAGGGGUAAAAUAGUAAUUCUACAGAGUCACACCUAUUGCGUGCUAACCGCCUACAUAGCUUGACUUGCUGCUGAAGCGCGAGCCAUCGAGUGCUUAUCUUCGCUGGACAGAACUGGCUUUAUAUCCUCUUCUCGAAUGUUCCUUCUCCGAACAUGAGUCUGCUCAGGAUCGUACUCUCUAACCCUUCGCUCUGUCAGUUCUGCCGGUAUCCCUUCGCUCUGGCCUUUCUUUCCUUGAUCUGCUCUGCUCCGCUCUGGUCUAGCCUCUGGUUGGGCUUUGCUCUUAUUCAACUUAAGACACGUGUCAUGAUCCUAGAAGUCCGCACAUUUUACCCCUCAUCAAUUCUUUUAUAAUUAACUAGCUAAUUUAAUUAAGAGUGGAUUUUGAAAAUAGCCACUUUUAUAUAGUAAAAAUAAAUUUUACCCACUAAUAUAAAAACUUUAAAAAAUACCCACAUUUACCAUUUUACCCUUACAUAUAAAAUUUUACAAAUACCCACUGUUCAGUGGUUGUAAAUUCAACUCGAAUUCACAACUAAAUUCAAGUAUUGGUUGUGAAUAACAAGUGCCAACACUAUUUCGAGUAGUGAAUUCACAACCGAUAAAACUUGAAUUCACAACCAACAUUAUUUCAAAUUGUGAAUUCACAACCAAUGAAACUUGAAUUCACAAUCAACACUAUUUCAAUUGUGAAUUCACAACCAACGCUGAUAAUUCAGUUGUGAAUUCAUAAACCUGGUUGUGAAUUCAAGAACAUUUGAACAAAAUUGCACGGUUUUCAUCAAUUUCUUCGUUGCUUAUAUAUUUUUUUGAUUACGUUCAAUUGAAUUAGGGAGAAAUUUAUCCAAUCUGCAGAAAUUCAUUCCAAUCAUUCUCAUCGGCAUCAAAAUUCAUCCUUUAAUUCAAAAUUCAUUCUAGAACAAAGCUUCAUCAAAAUUCAAACAUGAGGAGAUUUGCAGUGAUGGAGAGGAGCAGAGAUUUACGAAGAGAGAGAAAAAGAGAGAGAGAGAGAUGCGAUGCAAUUUUCAGAGAGGGAAGAGUGGGAAUAGGGCAGCGGUACCCCAGCGAAACCAGCGGCGGAGGCAUCGGACCUUCGCGGUCCAAGGUGGCGGUGGCAGAACAGAUCGAGAGAGAGAGAAGAUCUGCGAUGAGAGAGAGAGCAGCGGCGGCUGCAUCGGACCUUCGUUGGUACAAGGCGGCGUCCCCGCGGGUGAAGAGACGCGACACGGCUGCGCGCUCCUCCGUUCACGGCGCUCCAAUUUGGAAGGAUUGGAGGCGAGAGAGAGGGAGAAAAGAGGGGAGAGAGGGAGGCUCUGUAUCAAAAAAAGAGAAGAGAGAGAG
This 1533-nucleotide long non-coding RNA is filed under the name Salvia miltiorrhiza (redroot sage). Its description in RNAcentral is "long non-coding RNA (SMIL_LNC011674)". The record is from RNAcentral. Lineage: Eukaryota; Viridiplantae; Streptophyta; Magnoliopsida; Lamiales; Lamiaceae.